GCGCUCUCUUCGGCAGCACAUGGACUAAAGCUGGAACGAUACAGAGAAGAUUAGCAUAGUCCCUGCGUAAGAAUGACGUGCAGAUUCGUGAAGCGUUCCAUAUUUUU
Pteropus vampyrus (large flying fox) is the source of this 107-nucleotide small nuclear RNA. The record is from Ensembl. NCBI's taxonomy places the organism in Eukaryota, Metazoa, Chordata, Mammalia, Chiroptera, Pteropodidae.